RNAcentral lists this ribosomal RNA (305 nucleotides) under uncultured bacterium. RNAcentral describes it as "bacterial SSU rRNA". It matches the Rfam family "Bacterial small subunit ribosomal RNA", at positions 338 to 641 of the family's 1533-position model. The record is from RNAcentral.
CCUACGGGGCGCAGCAGUGAGGAAUAUUGGUCAAUGGGCGGGAGCCUGAACCAGCCAAGUCGCGUGAAGGAAGAAGGUACUUAGUAUUGUAAACUUCUUUUGUCGGGGAACAAAGGCGGAGACGCGUCUCCGGAUGAGUGUACCCGAAGAAAAAGCAUCGGCUAACUCCGUGCCAGCAGCCGCGGUAAUACGGAGGAUGCGAGCGUUAUCCGGAUUUAUUGGGUUUAAAGGGUGCGCAGGCGGUCUGUUAAGUCAGCGGUCAAAGCCCGGGGCUCAACCCCGGCCCGCCGUUGAAACUGGCAGUC